This 517-nucleotide long non-coding RNA is filed under the name Populus tremula. Its description in RNAcentral is "long non-coding RNA (PTRE_LNC002976)". The record is from RNAcentral. Lineage: Eukaryota; Viridiplantae; Streptophyta; Magnoliopsida; Malpighiales; Salicaceae.
GUUCCUCCCACCAACAAUUGGUAUCAGAGCCCCGUUCGUCGGAAAACAGAAGAGUUUUGGGGUAUAUCCGAAUUUUCAAAGUUGUCAAAAACAAGUUUUGAUCAUUCCAUAGUGUAGAGCUCAUCAAGACGAACUCAACGCCGCAAAAAUCAGCCUCAUCGGAGUCCGGGGUAGCCCCCACGCGCCGUCUGAAUAUUCAGCCAGAUCGCCCACGCGCAUCCCACGCGCCCCGAGGUUGAAGACGACUGAGCCACACGCGCGCCAUAUUCGAGCCGUGUAAGCCGCCUAAGCCGAGUCCAGCCGAGCCACAAGCCGAGCCGUACCCCGAGCCGAGCCGAAGGAAUAUUCCUCAGAAUAUUCCACGAAUAUUCCCCAGCAUAUUCCCAAGAAUAUUCCCCCAGAAUAUUCCCCGAAUAUUCCCAGAAUAUUCCCCAGAAUAUUCCACAGAAUAUUCCCGGUUCAACCCAGCGAACCGCCCCCGUACAGAAUUGGUUUUUUGACCGGUUCACCCAUUUUU